UCGGCAGAGAUGCCUUAGUGCCUUCGGGAACCGUGAGACAGGUGCUGCAUGGCUGUCGUCAGCUCGUGUUGUGAAAUGUUGGGUUAAGUCCCGCAACGAGCGCAACCCUUAUCCUUUGUUGCCAGCGAGUAAUGUCGGGAACUCAAAGGAGACUGCCGGUGAUAAACCGGAGGAAGGUGGGGAUGACGUCAAGUCAUCAUGGCCCUUACGGCCAGGGCUACACACGUGCUACAAUGGCGCAUACAAAGAGAAGCGAACUCGCGAGAGCAAGCGGACCUCAUAAAGUGCGUCGUAGUCCGGAUCGGAGUCUGCAACUCGACUCCGUGAAGUCGGAAUCGCUAGUAAUCGUAGAUCAGAAUGCUACGGUGAAUACGUUCCCGGGCCUUGUACACACCGCCCGUCACACCAUGGGAGUGGGUUGCAAAAGAAGUAGGUAGCUUAACCUUCGGGAGGGCGCUUACCACUUUGUGAUUCAUGACUGGGGUGAAGUCGUAACAAGGUAACCGUAGGGGAACCUGCGGUUGGAUCACCUCCUUA
RNAcentral lists this ribosomal RNA (537 nucleotides) under Winslowiella arboricola. Its description in RNAcentral is "bacterial SSU rRNA". It matches the Rfam family "Bacterial small subunit ribosomal RNA", at positions 997 to 1533 of the family's 1533-position model. Lineage: Bacteria; Pseudomonadati; Pseudomonadota; Gammaproteobacteria; Enterobacterales; Erwiniaceae. The record is from RNAcentral.